CUAUCAUUAACUGAAUCCAUAGGUUAAUGAGGCGAACCGGGGGAACUGAAACAUCUAAGUACCCCGAGGAAAAGAAAUCAACCGAGAUUCCCCCAGUAGCGGCGAGCGAACGGGGAGCAGCCCAGAGUCUGAAUCAGUGUGUGUGUUAGUGGAAGCGUCUGGAAAGGCGCGCGAUACAGGGUGACAGCCCCGUACACAAAAAUGCACAUAUUGUGAGCUCGAUGAGUAGGGCGGGACACGUGGUAUCCUGUCUGAAUAUGGGGGGACCAUCCUCCAAGGCUAAAUACUCCUGACUGACCGAUAGUGAACCAGUACCGUGAGGGAAAGGCGAAAAGAAC
RNAcentral lists this ribosomal RNA (338 nucleotides) under Escherichia coli. RNAcentral describes it as "partial 23S ribosomal RNA". It matches the Rfam family "Bacterial large subunit ribosomal RNA", at positions 148 to 524 of the family's 2925-position model. The record is from RNAcentral. Lineage: Bacteria; Pseudomonadati; Pseudomonadota; Gammaproteobacteria; Enterobacterales; Enterobacteriaceae.